GAGUUUGAUCAUGGCUCAAAAUGAACGCUGGCGGCACGCUUAACACAUGCAAGUCGAACGAGAUCUUCGGAUCUAGUGGCAGACGGGUGAGUAACGCGUGGGAACCUGCCCAGUAGUAGAGAAUAACUUGAGGAAACUUAAGCUAAUACUUUAUACACCCUUCGGGGAAAAGCUUUAUGCGCUAUUGGAUGGGCCUGCGUUAGAUUAGUUUGUUGGUGAGGUAAUGGCUCACCAAGACUACGAUCUAUAGCUGGUCUGAGAGGAUGAUCAGCCACACUGGGACUGAGACACGGCCCACACUCCUACGGGAGGCAGCAGUGGGGAAUAUUGGACAAUGGGGGCAACCCUGAUCCAGCGAUGCCGCGUGAGUGAUGAAGGCCUUCGGGUUGUAAAAAUCUUUCGUCAGGGAAGAUAAUGACGGUACCUGAAGAAGAAGAUCCGGCUAACUCCGUGCCAGCAGCCGCGGUAAUACGGAGGGAUCUAGCGUUAUUCGGAAUUACUGGGCGUAAAGCGAGCGUAGGCGGAUUUGUAAGUUGGAGGUGAAAUCCCAGAGCUUAACUCUGGAACUGCCUUCAAAACUACAUUUCUUGAGUUUGGUAGAGGAGAGUGGAAUUCCUAGUGUAGAGGUGAAAUUCUUAGAUAUUAGGAGGAACACCAGUGGCGAAGGCGACUCUCUGGGCCAAUACUGACGCUGAGGUUCGAAAGCAUGGGUAGCGAACAGGAUUAGAUACCCUGGUAGUCCACGCCGUAAACGAUGACAACUAGCUGUUGGAAGACAACGUCUCUCAGUGGCGCAGCUAACGUUUUUAAGUUGUCCGCCUGGGGAGUACGGCCGCAAGGCUAAAACUCAAAUGAAUUGACGGGGACCCGCACAAGCGGUGGAGCAUGUGGUUUAAUUCGAUGCAACGCGAAAAACCUUACCUACUCUUGACAUACUUGGAAACUCUUGUAAUGAGAGUGUGCCUUUUGGAACCAAGAUACAGGUGCUGCAUGGCUGUCGUCAGCUCGUGUCGUGAGAUGUUCCGUUAAGUCGGAUAACGAGCGCAACCCUUACCCUUAUUUGCCAGCGAUUCGGUCGGGAACUAUAAGGGGACUGCCGGUGAUAAACCGGAGGAAGGUGAGGACGACGUCAAGUCAUCAUGGCCCUUACGAGUAGGGCUACACACGUGCUACAAUGGGGAAUACAGACGGACGCUAAGCCGCGAGGUGGUGCUAAUCCUAGAAAGUUUCUCGUAGUCCGGAUUGGAGUCUGCAACUCGACUCCAUGAAGUCGGAAUCGCUAGUAAUCGCGAAUCAGCAUGUCGCGGUGAAUACGUUCUCGGGUCUUGUACACACCGCCCGUCACACCAUGGAAGUGGAUUGCACCAGAAGUAGAUAGUCUAACCUUCGGGAGGGCGUUUACCACGGUGUGCUUCAUGACUGGGGUGAAGUCGUAACAAGGUAACC
This 1446-nucleotide ribosomal RNA is filed under the name uncultured marine bacterium. RNAcentral's name for it is "bacterial SSU rRNA". It matches the Rfam family "Bacterial small subunit ribosomal RNA". The record is from RNAcentral.